This 253-nucleotide ribosomal RNA is filed under the name uncultured bacterium. RNAcentral's name for it is "partial 16S ribosomal RNA". It matches the Rfam family "Bacterial small subunit ribosomal RNA", at positions 524 to 776 of the family's 1533-position model. The record is from RNAcentral.
UACGAAGGGUGCAAGCGUUGUUCGGAAUUACUGGGCGUAAAGGGCGCGUAGGCGGGUUUGUAAGUCGAAUGUGAAAUCCCCAGGCUUAACCUGGGACCUGCAUUCGAUACUGCUAAUCUUGAAUGCUUGAGAGGGUGGUGGAAUUCCUAGUGUAGAAGUGAAAUUCGUAGAUAUUAGGAGGAACACCUGAGGCGAAGGCGGCCACCUGGCAAGACAUUGACGCUAAGGCGCGAAAGUGCGGGGAGCAAACAGG